RNAcentral lists this ribosomal RNA (473 nucleotides) under uncultured organism. RNAcentral describes it as "partial 16S ribosomal RNA". It matches the Rfam family "Bacterial small subunit ribosomal RNA", at positions 335 to 799 of the family's 1533-position model. The record is from RNAcentral.
ACUCCUACGGGAGGCAGCAGUAGGGAAUCUUCGGCAAUGGGGGCAACCCUGACCGAGCAACGCCGCGUGAGUGAAGAAGGUUUUCGGAUCGUAAAGCUCUGUUGUAAGUCAAGAACGAGUGUGAGAGUGGAAAGUUCACACUGUGACGGUAGCUUACCAGAAAGGGACGGCUAACUACGUGCCAGCAGCCGCGGUAAUACGUAGGUCCCGAGCGUUGUCCGGAUUUAUUGGGCGUAAAGCGAGCGCAGGCGGUUUGAUAAGUCUGAAGUUAAAGGCUGUGGCUCAACCAUAGUCCGCUUUGGAAACUGUCAAACUUGAGUGCAGAAGGGGAGAGUGGAAUUCCAUGUGUAGCGGUGAAAUGCGUAGAUAUAUGGAGGAACACCGGUGGCGAAAGCGGCUCUCUGGUCUGUAACUGACGCUGAGGCUCGAAAGCGUGGGGAGCGAACAGGAUUAGAAACCCUAGUAGUCCCAUG